Molecule: ribosomal RNA, 238 nt
Filed under: uncultured bacterium
Lineage: Bacteria
Description: partial 16S ribosomal RNA
Rfam family: Bacterial small subunit ribosomal RNA
Source: RNAcentral
CGGCGGACGGGUGAGUAACGCGUGGGUAACCUGCCUCGUACAGGGGGAUAACAGUUAGAAAUGACUGCUAAUACCGCAUAAGACCACAGCACCGCAUGGUGCAGGGGUAAAAACUCCGGUGGUAUGAGAUGGACCCGCGUCUGAUUAGCUAGUUGGUAAGGUAACGGCUUACCAAGGCGACGAUCAGUAGCCGACCUGAGAGGGUGACCGGCCACAUUGGGACUGAGACACGGCCCAA